UGGUUCUGGCAUCGAUGAAGAACGCAGCGAAAUGCGAUAAGUAAUGUGAAUUGCAGAAUUCAGUGAAUCAUCGAAUCUUUGAACGCACAUUGCGCCCCUUGGCAUUCCGGGGGGCAUGCCCGUUCGAGCGUCAUUACACCCAUCAAGCCUCGCUUGGUUUUGGGCCGCAGGGUCGCCCUCGGCCUCAAUGUCUCCGGCGGGAGUGCUCUGAUCCCAGCGUUGUGGUUUAAUCAAUUCGCUGGCGGGACGGGUCUCUCGGCCGUAAACCAUCUUCUCAGGUUGACCUCGGAUCGGGUAGGGAUACCCGCUGA
RNAcentral lists this unclassified non-coding RNA (311 nucleotides) under uncultured fungus. RNAcentral describes it as "partial contains 5.8S ribosomal RNA and internal transcribed spacer 2". The stretch from base 1 to 133 matches the Rfam family "5.8S ribosomal RNA", at positions 22 to 154 of the family's 154-position model. Lineage: Eukaryota; Fungi. The record is from RNAcentral.